CCUACGGGAGGCAGCAGUGAGGAAUAUUGGUCAAUGGACGCGAGCCUGAACCAGCCAAGCCGCGUGAAGGAUGACGGCUCUAUGAGUUGUAAACUUCUUUUGUACGGGCAUAAAGACAGGCACGCGUACCUGUUUGUAUGUACCGUACGAAUAAGCAUCGGCUAACUCCGUGCCAGCAGCCGCGGUAAUACGGAGGAUUCGAGCGUUAUCCGGAUUUAUUGGGUUUAAAGGGUGCGUAGGUGGUCGGUUAAGUAAGAGGUGAAAGCCUGGGGCUCAACCUCGAAAUUGCCGUUGAUACUGUCCGGCUUGAGUUGAGUUGAGGUAGGCGGAAGGCGUGGUGUAGCGGUGAAAUGCAUAGAGAUCACGCAGAACUCCGAUUGCGAAGGCAGCUUACCAAGCUACCACUGACGUUGAGGCACGAAAGCGUGGGGAGCAAACAGGAUUAGAUACCCUGGUAGUC
RNAcentral lists this ribosomal RNA (460 nucleotides) under uncultured bacterium. RNAcentral's name for it is "partial 16S ribosomal RNA". It matches the Rfam family "Bacterial small subunit ribosomal RNA", at positions 338 to 795 of the family's 1533-position model. The record is from RNAcentral.